This 433-nucleotide ribosomal RNA is filed under the name uncultured bacterium. Its description in RNAcentral is "partial 16S ribosomal RNA". It matches the Rfam family "Bacterial small subunit ribosomal RNA", at positions 29 to 507 of the family's 1533-position model. The record is from RNAcentral.
AAUGAACGCUGGCGGCAUGCCUAACACAUGCAAGUCGAACGAAAGCACCGGAACUUUUGGCCCAUGGUGGUGUCACGCGUCGGAACCGUCCCUCAUGUAUGGAAUACCUCUCCGACUGGGGUGCUAACACGGGAUCAGAUCUUCUAACCAAAGAUAUAUCGCACUGGAUGGGGCACGCGUUGAAUUAGCUAGUUGGUAGGGUAAUAGCCUAUUACGGCGACGAUCCAUAGCUGGUUAGAGAGGAUGAUCAGCAACUCUGGGACUCAGAAACGGCCCAGACUCCUACGGGAGGCAGCAGAGGGGAAUAUAGCACAAUGGGGGAAGGGAUGAUGCAGCAAUGCCGCGUGAGUGAUGAAGGCCUUAGGGUUGUAAAGCUCUUUUACCCGGGAUGAUAAUGACAGUACCGGGAGAAUAAGCUCCGGCUAACUCCGUG